RNAcentral lists this long non-coding RNA (310 nucleotides) under Ananas comosus (pineapple). RNAcentral's name for it is "long non-coding RNA (ACOM_LNC027423)". Lineage: Eukaryota; Viridiplantae; Streptophyta; Magnoliopsida; Poales; Bromeliaceae. The record is from RNAcentral.
AAAUUUUUUUACAGAGAACCAAACAUCAGAAAAAUAUUUUUCAAGUAAAAAUUAAUUUUCAGAGUACUUUUACAGCAAACCAAACACCCCCUUAGCGUCCAUUUGGUAUAACUUUCUUUUUUUUUAAUUUUGAGAGAAAAAUAGUAUGCUAUUCACUUCGUUUAUUUCAUUUAGAAAUAAACUUAGCUGAAAAUGUGAAUCAACUAGUAUUCAAACAUGAGUCUCGGGUAUCAACUAUCAAGUCUUUUUACCACUUGCGCAAGGGACGGUUGGUCCAUUUGGUAUAACUCAAUAAAUAAUUUUCAUAUGU